GGAGAGGUCGCAUAGUGGCCUAGUGCGAGCGCCUGCUAAGCGCUUGGGGGUGUAUAGCCCCCCGAGAGUUCGAAUCUCUCCCUCUCCG
This 88-nucleotide transfer RNA is filed under the name Chloroflexota bacterium. Its description in RNAcentral is "tRNA-Ser". It matches the Rfam family "tRNA". From Rfam's summary of the family: Transfer RNA (tRNA) molecules are approximately 80 nucleotides in length. Their secondary structure includes four short double-helical elements and three loops (D, anti-codon, and T loops). The record is from RNAcentral. RNAcentral also lists the same sequence under 1 other name. Lineage: Bacteria; Bacillati; Chloroflexota.